CACACCUACACCCGCUACCUGGGCGACCUGUCCGGAGGCCAGGUCCUCAAGAAGAUCACGCCCUGGACCUGCCCAGUUCCAGAGAGGGCCUGAGCCUACCUGUGCUGCAUUUUACCUAUUCACUGCAAGGGGAAGGCCCUGGUAACUUAUGCCGCUUAUCAUUGUGGUUAACAUAGUUAUGAGUUUUGUCCACACUUCUCUGCUCAUAGUCACAUGAAUCUGAAGGUUUCAUGCCUGUCCUGGUACCCUGAGGAUUCUGAUCAGUUAGUGUUAGGGCUAGGAUUAGUGCAAGGGCUAGGGUUUGGGUUAAUAUUUGCCCUUUAUGACUUCUACAUAGGAUUCUGGCAGCCUCUGCCACUUCAGAUUGUGGGUAAUGUAGUCUGUGAUGUGUCUGCUUAUUGUGGGGAUCCUUGGAGCAUUGGGUGCUCCCUAGCAUUGGGGUGCAAGGAGAGUGAAGGCUGAAGAGGGACUGAGGGAAGCUGGGGGCAGGUGCUUGUGUGCUGCUAGGAAAGAUUGAGUGUGACAUUGAGG
RNAcentral lists this long non-coding RNA (531 nucleotides) under Marmota monax (woodchuck). The record is from RNAcentral. Lineage: Eukaryota; Metazoa; Chordata; Mammalia; Rodentia; Sciuridae.